This 420-nucleotide ribosomal RNA is filed under the name Fusobacteriota bacterium. RNAcentral's name for it is "Fusobacteria bacterium partial 16S ribosomal RNA". It matches the Rfam family "Bacterial small subunit ribosomal RNA", at positions 355 to 776 of the family's 1533-position model. Lineage: Bacteria; Fusobacteriati; Fusobacteriota. The record is from RNAcentral.
UGGGGGAUUUUGCACAAUGGGCGCAAGCCUGAUGCAGCGACGCCGCGUGAGGGAUGAAGGCCUUCGGGUUGAACCUCUUUCGCUGGGUUGAAAGGCCAUGCUUUGGGUGUGGUUGAUUUGAACUGGUAAAGAAGUACCGGCUAACUACGUGCCAGCAGCCGCGGUAAUACGUAGGGUACUAGCGUUGUCCGGAUUUAUUGGGCGUAAAGGGCUUGUAGGUGGUUUGUCGCGUCUGUCGUGAAAUCCUGUGGCUUAACCAUGGGCUUGCGGUGGGUACGGGCAGGCUUGAGUGCGGUAGGGGAGACUGGAAUUCCUGGUGUAGCGGUGGAAUGCGCAGAUAUCAGGAGGAACACCGGUGGCGAAGGCGGGUCUCUGGGCCGUUACUGACACUGAGGAGCGAAAGCGUGGGGAGCGAACAGG